UACAGAGGGUGCAAGCGUUAAUCGGAAUUACUGGGCGUAAAGCGCGCGUAGGUGGUUCAGUAAGAUGGAAGUGAAAUCCCCGGGCUCAACCUGGGAACUGCUUUCAUAACUGCUGAGCUAGAGUACGGUAGAGGGUAGUGGAAUUUCCUGUGUAGCGGUGAAAUGCGUAGAUAUAGGAAGGAACACCAGUGGCGAAGGCGACUACCUGGACUGGUACUGACACUGAGGUGCGAAAGCGUGGGGAGCAAACAGGAUUAGAUACCCCCGUAGU
This 271-nucleotide ribosomal RNA is filed under the name uncultured prokaryote. RNAcentral describes it as "partial 16S ribosomal RNA". It matches the Rfam family "Bacterial small subunit ribosomal RNA", at positions 524 to 794 of the family's 1533-position model. The record is from RNAcentral.